This 521-nucleotide transfer-messenger RNA is filed under the name marine eukaryotic metagenome. RNAcentral describes it as "Alphaproteobacteria transfer-messenger RNA". It matches the Rfam family "Alphaproteobacteria transfer-messenger RNA". Rfam says of the family: Bacterial tmRNA, also known as 10Sa RNA or SsrA, is named for its dual tRNA and mRNA-like properties. Its role is to liberate the mRNA from a stalled ribosome. To accomplish this part of the tmRNA is used as a reading frame that ends in a translation stop signal. The record is from RNAcentral.
CCUUUAAAUUUUGAUUAAAAAGGCCUAUAUUUACGGUGAUGGGUAACCAUCUAUGAUGAUAAACGGCUAACGUAAUAAGCGUUACGGACCCGGGGGCGGUACCCGGCGCCUCCACCAUUUAUGAAAGUGUUUAUCUGAUUGAUGCGAAAUAUUUUGUGUCAUACUAUAGCUUAGUCAUUAAAGCAUAAUUGAUUAGGUUGUUGAUGCCACAAGGAAUAAGUGAUGAAAUUUACGGCUUCAGUAAAUGAAGCACGCAAUGACACCGUGGCAUCGAUAAGAUAAACAAUUAGAGGGGGCGAACCAGGAUCGACGUGCGUGGUAAAGGUUAUCUUUUCGUCCGGCAUUGUACCACCGUUAUCGGGCUGCAUGAUAAGUGCAAACACUAAAAAUACUCGUCGUGGUGCUAACCAAAAUAGGUUAGUUGCCAACAGCCGCCGUAAUGGUAGCCGUCGUGUAGCAAACGCUGCUUAGUAAAUCAAGCAGUAGCGGUCUGAGGGGCACCGGGCAACAGAAGCCCCUCA